CCAGGUGUAGCGGUGAAAUGCGUAGAUAUCUGGAGGAAUACCGAUGGCGAAAGCGGGUUUCUGGUCUAUUACUGACACUGAGCUGUGAAGGCGCGGGGAGCAAACAGGAUUAGAUACCCUGGUAGUCCGCGCGGUAAACGAUGUUCACUUGGUAUGGGAGGUAUCGACCCCUUCUGUGCCGGAGCUAACGCAUUAAGUGAACCACCUGGGGAGUACGGCCGCAAGGUUGAAACUCAAAAGAAUUGACGGGGGCCCGCACAAGUGGUGGAGCAUGUGGUUUAAUUCGACGCAACGCGAAGAACCUUACCCGGGCUUGAAGUUCUGGUUGUAUCCCGACGAAAGAUUGGGAGACUCGCAAGAGAGCCAGAAGAGGUGCUGCAUGGUUGUCGUCAGCUCGUGCCGUGAGGUGUAUGGUUAAGUCCCAUAACGAGCGCAACCCUUGUCCUAUGUUGCUAACUUCGCAAGAAGAGCACUCUUAGGAGACUGCCCAGGUUAACUGGGACGGAAGUGGGGAUGACGUCAAAUCAUCAUGGCCUUUAUGUCCGGGGCUACACACGUGCUACAAUGGCUGCUACAGAGGGAUGCCAAACCGUAAGGUGGAGCAAAUCCUUUAAAGGCAGCCUCAGUUCAGAUUGAGGACUGCAACUCGUCCUCAUGAAGUCGGAAUCACUAGUAAUCGCUGAUCAGCAGGCAGCGGUGAAUACGUUCCCGGGCCUUGUACACACCGCCCGUCACACCAUGAAAGCUAGUUGCAACAGAUGUCCCGCCUCGCGCGGGAUGAAGUUGUGAUUAGUGACUGGGGUGAAGUCGUAAUCAAGGUAACCGUA
RNAcentral lists this ribosomal RNA (827 nucleotides) under uncultured bacterium. Its description in RNAcentral is "bacterial SSU rRNA". It matches the Rfam family "Bacterial small subunit ribosomal RNA", at positions 669 to 1504 of the family's 1533-position model. The record is from RNAcentral.